Molecule: long non-coding RNA, 3131 nt
Organism: Oncorhynchus keta (chum salmon)
Lineage: Eukaryota; Metazoa; Chordata; Actinopteri; Salmoniformes; Salmonidae
Exons: 5
Source: RefSeq, a predicted model, not a curated record
UAACUUCCAGAGAACAAGGGAAAUACAUUAGGGAAAUACUAAUGCAAUAUCUGAACAAUGCAUUCAUAAGCAUUUCUCAACUACUGGGUUGAAGCAGAUUUUCCAGAGCCCAGCACAAAUCCAGGGGAUUAUUCUACCUGGAAGAUAGAUUCUGUACUAAUAACUAGCCCAGCUCAAUUCGCAGUUCAAGCUUUUGAGGUGCCCUUCGCUGUCGAACAGGAUAUCUCCGCUCCUCCUGGGCUUCCGGUGGUGGGCCAGGUUCGGGUGUAAGGGCGUUGGACCAUAGCAGAUGAUCCACAUGAACGUUGACAUGGCGAUGAUCAACUUGGACUUGGCGAUGCCGCCCCACCCUUCCCUGACUCCUAACCCCUCGUGAGCUGAGAGGAGGAACACCCCAGACCUCCUGACAACUCCGAUGGUGGAGGUCGGGUCACUUGGAGGUCAUCAUGGGGACCUUUGCAGAGACGUCGGGGGUGCAGCCCAUGCUUUGGGAGCCGUCAUGCAUCACCACACAUCUGUCCCCUGGGCUGCAGCGUAAACAGCUGAUGUGGAAAAAUGCUUUCAAACACAUCAUUAGCUAACAGGAGAUAAAUGAGCAUGUGAACUUACAUGACACGUACAAAUCAUCUCUCCUCCUACAAUGAGUAUUGUUGGCCAUGUCUUAACUAUAGACUCUUAGAAUAAAAGGUGCUAUCUAGGACCUAAAAUGGUUCUUCAGCUGUUGCCAUAGGAUAACCCUUUUGGUUCCAGGUAGAACCAAUGGAACCCAAAAGGGUCCUUCUAUGGGGACAGCCAAAGAACCCUUUCGGAACACUUUUUUCUAAGAGUUCACAUUCCUUGCUUCCUUCCUUUGUCUCAUUUCCCUCUUGACCACUAAUAGGUACAAUGAAAGUAGUGUGUCUAGUAGUCAUCAUUAUUUUAACCAAAGGGGCAGGUGGGACUUGAUGCCUUUACAUCAUGGUACUCUCACAUUUUCAGAAACUCAUGUCAGAUUAGAAGUCAUGAAAUGGGAUCAGAACAACAAUUGAUCGAUAUUGUAAGUGUACAAUAAGUGUUGAUAGGUAGGGGUGGAGCCAGUGCGUAAGAUCUUCGCCACCGACAUCUACAUUGAUGAGAUCAACCACCAGAUCCGCAGGAAGGCCUCACGUGUGGACGUUGGUAAUAGCUGUAUCGCCUUAGAAUGUGCCCCUUUCCGGCAUAGCUCAUGGGCCUGUGGUUGCCAGGGUGAUCAGCGCAACCAAGCCUCAGUAUGACAUCUGGGGACAACGGUGAACCUGGCGAGCGGCAUGGACAGCACAGGCAUGAGCGGCUGCAUCCAGGUGCCUGAGGCCACACAAGGGAUCCUGGCUACCUGGGGCUUCGUCCUGGAGCUGAGGGGACAGAUCUACAUUGAGGGGGUGUAGCUCUGUCCCCACCCUAUACCCCACAUUGUGCACUACUAUUGUCCAGAGCCAUAUGAGGAUAUAGUAUAUAGUACUGUACACUUUAAGAGGAAUUCAGCAAAUUAAGGUAUUGCUUUCUAUUCCUUUUAUUUGUGUUAUUGUAAGUGAGUGAGCAGCAGGGGAAAGUCCAGACUUACUUCAUCUACAGCAGUCACACCCAAAGGGUCAGUAACGGGACUGGGGGGGACGGUCAGGGGGGCAAUCGGAGGGCAGGAGCACCCUGGCAGUGGUGGUGUUUGGCCUGGUACAGUCCAGGAAGAAGGAGAAGCAGAGAGUCCAACAGAGUGUUGUUCAGCUUAGCCCCUAACAGCGGACAGUGCUAGCAGAGGAUUCUAGAGAGACCACCAAAGGCACUUCCUGUUUAGGGGGUCAUGACUUCCUAUGUUGUGAGUCGUCCAGCCCUGGCUCUAAACACCACUGUGGUGGAUUAGCUGGUUGAUCCUCAGAGAGAGAGAGAAGAUAUACUGUAUGAGAUACUGUAUGUAGUGAUUCUCGUGAGAGAAAACUGUACAGAACAUGGGACCAAGUACCCCAAGGGAUUAAAGUAUUUUGUUGGGUCGGUUCAAGGGACACAUUGGGUGUCAUAUUAAACAUUAUUCAGAGGACUUUCUCUUUGGCCCACAAGACUCCAUCUUGUUUUGAACAGGAGGAUCCACUGUCAGUCUUAGUUUUACUGAGUUUUAACAAUCACCGUUAGGAUGAUAAUAGAUUUUUUUUGCCAUAUCUACAUAUGCAGUACAUAUUUGUUAAAUGUGUUUUCAUGUGUAUUUCUUACCUGACUGAGGCCAACACAGUGCACUACUCUUAUAGACAUCACAUCGGUGCAAGACAAUUUGAUUACUAUAAGAAUUCACUGUAAGAGGAGUGCAUUGUAUUUACUUACUGAUGUCAAAAACCCUGCAGUUUACAUGUUCAAUUAGAGUCCAGACCUCUAAGCCUUGAUAAUAAAUGCCUCACUUCAUCACUUCAUCACUGUACCAAGACUAACUGUGCAACCUAUUUUGUAUCAUAGACUUUCAUUCGCUGGAUUAAUUUAGUGUAAAUCAGUGCAUUCAUUUUUGUAAAUGAUAUACAAUUUUGUAAUGUUUUUAUUACGAUGUAUAAUAUCAUUGUUAAUCGAGAGAACACAUUGUUUAAAUACAUUGUUUGAUCUGUGUAGUGAUAAUAAUAAGUGUAUUUUGCUACACAUUGUGGUGAAGAGUAAUUCCACGAUAACAGAGUGAUGCUGAGACUCCGAUUUGUCCCUUUAAAAUGUAUGUCAAAUAAAAAUCAAUGAUUGCAAAGUUAAACAAACCAUACAACUCUAUGCAAAAGGACUACUUUUAAAAAUUUCCACUGACAUUUUUACAAAAAUAAAUUUACCUGAAGAACGGUGCAGAUGCAAAGUUUAGUAACAGAAUGCUGGUUUGUACUGUUGGUAUCGUCAUUCUGUUACCACAUUUUCAGUGGAAAUUGUUAAAAGUCUCACUUGUGCAUAGAGUUGUAUGGUUUGUUUUUGUUUGGGAUACAUUUUAAAGUGAAACAUCUGAGUCUCAACAUCACUCUAUUAGUGUGUAAUUGCCCUGAAGCUGAUUUUAUUUGGUUCUGUCAAUGAGUGUUACCUCAUUGGGCUUCCUUUACCUCUGUCGUGACUUGACUAUCAUUAAUGUGAUGGCUGCUAUUUAUUAAAUAAUGACCUACUACGUUUAA